UGGGGAAUAUUGGACAAUGGGCGCAAGCCUGAUCCAGCAAUGCCGCGUGAGUGAUGAAGGCCUUCGGGUUGUAAAGCUCUUUUACCUGCGACGAUGAUGACGGUAGCAGGAGAAUAAGCCCCGGCUAACUUCGUGCCAGCAGCCGCGGUAAUACGAAGGGGGCUAGCGUUGUUCGGAAUUACUGGGCGUAAAGGGCGCGUAGGCGGCCCUGUCAGUCAAGCGUGAAAGCCCCGGGCUCAACCUGGGAAUUGCGCCUGAUACUGCAGGGCUUGAGGGUCGGAGAGGAUGGUGGAAUUCCCAGUGUAGAGGUGAAAUUCGUAGAUAUUGGGAAGAACACCGGUGGCGAAGGCGGCCAUCUGGACGACAUCUGACGCUGAGGCGCGAAAGCGCGGGGAGCAAACAG
RNAcentral lists this ribosomal RNA (403 nucleotides) under uncultured bacterium. RNAcentral describes it as "bacterial SSU rRNA". It matches the Rfam family "Bacterial small subunit ribosomal RNA", at positions 355 to 775 of the family's 1533-position model. The record is from RNAcentral.